GACGAACGCUGGCGGCGUGGAUUAGGCAUGCAAGUCGAACGGUAUCAUCCUUUCGGGGGUGAGAGAGUGGCGAACUGGUGAGUAACACGUAGGUUAUCUACCCUCAAGACGGGGACAACCCAGGGAAACUUGGGCUAAUACCGGAUGUGAGCAACUUUUAGUUGUUUGAAAGGUGGCGUAAGCUGUCGCUUGGGGAUGAGCCUGCGUCCUAUUAGUUAGUUGGUGAGGUAACGGCUCACCUAGGCAAUGAUAGGUAGGCGGCCUUAACGGGUGGUCGCCCACACUGGGAUUGAGAUACGGCCCAGACUCCUACGGGAGGCAGCAGUCGAGAAUAGUCUACAAUGGUCGGAAGACUGAUAGUGCGACGCCGCGUGAACGAUGAAUCCCUUCGGGGGUGUAAAGUUCUUUUUAUAUGUGAGCAGUGCUUCUUAUAUUAACAGUAUGGGGAGAGAGAUAUUAGCAUAUGAAUAAGCAACGGCUAACUCCGUGCCCAGCAGCCGCGGUAAA
This 507-nucleotide ribosomal RNA is filed under the name uncultured bacterium. RNAcentral describes it as "bacterial SSU rRNA". It matches the Rfam family "Bacterial small subunit ribosomal RNA", at positions 28 to 524 of the family's 1533-position model. The record is from RNAcentral.